UUUGGCACUGUAGAAUAUUAUGAACAGACUGACAACCCGGCUAAUAGGUUGGAAUACAGUCAGAUUCAUUUAGGAUUGCUGCCCCGGCUGAAGCUGUGCUUGUCCCUGUGGUCGUUGGCAAACGCCACUGCAUGUGCCUAACAGAAACCUGGCAAAAACCAGGGGACUACUCUGUGCUUAAUGAGGCAUGUCCCCCUGGCUAUAACUACAUGGAGAAAGCCCGCAGCUCUGGUCGUGGUGGUGGACCAGCCAUCAUGUUGAACUAAAACGUUCUCCUCUGCAAAUGCCUGAUCCUUUAUGGAAUACCUGGCCUCCAAAUGCAAAUCUCCGUACUGCGUGACAGUGCUUGUCAUAUACCGUCCUCCAAAGCCAAACCCAUCUCUUCUACCUGAGCACACGUUCCCCAGCGUCUCCUUUUUCUACUUUUUGGAGAGCCUUAACAAUGACAGAGAGACAGAGGUGAAGAGAAGAGGAAGAAGGAGGAGGAAAGAAAUGAUGCAUG
This is a long non-coding RNA of Gasterosteus aculeatus aculeatus (three-spined stickleback), 502 nucleotides long. The record is from Ensembl. NCBI's taxonomy places the organism in Eukaryota, Metazoa, Chordata, Actinopteri, Perciformes, Gasterosteidae.